Molecule: ribosomal RNA, 1221 nt
Filed under: Arcothymus tristis
Lineage: Eukaryota; Metazoa; Arthropoda; Insecta; Coleoptera; Tenebrionidae
Description: SSU rRNA
Rfam family: Eukaryotic small subunit ribosomal RNA
Source: RNAcentral
UUGUCUCAAAGAUUAAGCCAUGCAUGUCUCAGUACAAGCCAAAUUAAGGUGAAACCGCGAAAGGCUCAUUAAAUCAGUUAUGGUUCCUUAGAUCGUACCAACGUUACUUGGAUAACUGUGGUAAUUCUAGAGCUAAUACAUGCAAACAGAGCUCCGACCGGAGACGGAAGGAGCGCUUUUAUUAGAUCAAAACCAAUCGGUGGCGGUUUCUCGCCGUCAUCGUACAACUUGGUGACUCUGAAUAACUUUACGCUGAUCGCACGGUCUUGCACCGGCGACGCAUCUUUCAAAUGUCUGCCUUAUCAACUGUCGAUGGUAGGUUCUGCGCCUACCAUGGUUGUAACGGGUAACGGGGAAUCAGGGUUCGAUUCCGGAGAGGGAGCCUGAGAAACGGCUACCACAUCCAAGGAAGGCAGCAGGCGCGCAAAUUACCCACUCCCGGCACGGGGAGGUAGUGACGAAAAAUAACGAUACGGGACUCAUCCGAGGCCCCGUAAUCGGAAUGAGUACACUCUAAACCCUUUAACGAGGAUCAAUUGGAGGGCAAGUCUGGUGCCAGCAGCCGCGGUAAUUCCAGCUCCAAUAGCGUAUAUUAAAGUUGUUGCGGUUAAAAAGCUCGUAGUCGAAUCUGUGUCCCGCGCCGCCGGUUCAUCGUUCGCGGUGUUAACUGGCGUGNCGCGGGACGUCCUGCCGGUGGGCUUAGCUCGCNAGGGCGGCCCAACUCAAUCCCGCCGCGGUGCUCUUCAUUGAGUGUCGAGGUGGGCCGGCACGUUUACUUUGAACAAAUUAGAGUGCUUAAAGCAGGCUAAAACUUUGCCUGAAUACUGUGUGCAUGGAAUAAUGGAAUAGGACCUCGGUUCUAUUUUGUUGGUUUUCGGAACCCCGAGGUAAUGAUUAAUAGGAACGGAUGGGGGCAUUCGUAUUGCGACGUUAGAGGUGAAAUUCUUGGAUCGUCGCAAGACGGACAGAAGCGAAAGCAUUUGCCAAAAACGNUUUCAUUGAUCAAGAACGAAAGUUAGAGGUUCGAAGGCGAUCAGAUACCGCCCUAGUUCUAACCAUAAACGAUGCCAGCUAGCGAUCCGCCGACGUUCCUCCGAUGACUCGGCGGGCAGCUUCCGGGAAACCAAAGCUUUUGGGUUCCGGGGGAAGUAUGGUUGCAAAGCUGAAACUUAAAGGAAUUGACGGAAGGGCACCACCAGGAGUGGAGCCUGCGGCUUAAUU